This 253-nucleotide ribosomal RNA is filed under the name uncultured prokaryote. Its description in RNAcentral is "partial 16S ribosomal RNA". It matches the Rfam family "Bacterial small subunit ribosomal RNA", at positions 525 to 777 of the family's 1533-position model. The record is from RNAcentral.
ACGAAGGGUGCAAGCGUUAAUCGGAAUUACUGGGCGUAAAGAGCUCGUAGGUGGUUUGUCACGUUGUUCGUGAAAACCCACAGCUCAACUGUGGGCGUGCGAGCGAUACGGGCAGACUAGAGUACUGCAGGGGAGACUGGAAUUCCUGGUGUAGCGGUGGAAUGCGCAGAUAUCAGGAGGAACACCGGUGGCGAAGGCGGGUCUCUGGGCAGUAACUGACGCUGAGGAGCGAAAGCUAGGGGAGCGAACGGGA